Molecule: ribosomal RNA, 700 nt
Filed under: Palaemon serratus
Lineage: Eukaryota; Metazoa; Arthropoda; Malacostraca; Decapoda; Palaemonidae
Description: bacterial SSU rRNA
Rfam family: Eukaryotic small subunit ribosomal RNA
Source: RNAcentral
GGAGAAUCAGGGUUCGAUUCCGGAGAGGGAGCCUGAGAAACGGCUACCACAUCCAAGGAAGGCAGCAGGCACGCAAAUUACCCAAUCCCAGCUCUGGGAGGUAGUGACGAAAAAUAACAAUGCGGGACUCUUCCGAGUCUGCGUAAUUGGAAUGAGCACACUUUAAAUCCUUUAGCAACAACCAAUUGGAGGGCAAGUCUGGUGCCAGCAGCCGCGGUAAUUCCAGCUCCAAUAGCGUAUAUUAAAGUUGUUGCGGUUAAAAAGCUCGUAGUUCGAGUUCAGUUCCGGACUGGCCGGGGAGGUCACCGCCCGGUGCUUCCCCGUCAGGCUCCGAACAGCUUCCGUGAGUGGAAGCCAAGCCGGUUCUGCCGGGGUGCUCUUUACCGAGUGUCCCGCGCGGCCGGCCAGUUCACCUUGAAUAAAUGAGAGUGCUCAAAGCAGGCUACUCUCGAAUACAAUGCCCGAAUGUUACCUGCAUGGAAUGAUGGAAGAUGAUCUCGGUUCCAUUUUCUUGGUGGUGGGAGCCAGAGGUAAUGAUAAAGAGGGACUGUCGGGGGCAUCCGUACUACGACGCGAGAGGUGAAAUUCAGUGACCGUCGUAGGACGAACAACAGCGAAAGCAUUUGCCAAGAAUGUCUUCGUUGAUCAAGAACGAAAGUUAGAGGAUCGAAGGCGAUCAGAUACCGCCCUAGUUCUAACC